GUAAGACUGGGAAGGUGGACAGCAUUCUGGUGCCUGAGCUCACUGUGGAGGUGGAGGUGAGUCUGUCUGGGUCACGGCAUCAAACUGUGCACCAGCACCGGAAACAUCUACAAAUAUUAUGGCUUCAAAGACACUGACCUUGAGAAGAUCUCAGAGUACUUCAAAGCCAACUAAAAAAUGGAGCUGAUUGAGAAAGAUAUGUGUGUGAAGGGCUGGAACUGGGGCACUGCUAAAUUUAAUGGGCCAUUGCUUUCAUUUGAGGUGAAUGACAGUCCUGCGUUUGAGACUCCACUCGCCAGUGUAUCCCAGUGUGCGACUGGAAAGAAUGAGGUCUCUGUGGAGUUUCAUCAGAAUGAUGACACAGAGCUGUUCCUCAUGGAGGUGCGCUUCUAUGUCCCAGCCACCACAGGAGACGAGGGUGUGUGUGCGCCACUACCUGACAGUGACCAACAGAUGGCAGAGUUUACAAAACACCAGUUCAAGCCUAAAGUAAAAUCUUUUGGAUCCGUAAAGCCCACUUAAACUGGAAAAUAAUAAGCUCCCAGUACUAUUCACUGCUGUUUCAGGCAUUUGCUCAGAACAUUCUGUCAAAGGUACGAUAUUCGUAUUUAUCUGACGUUCCUCCAUCUGCAUGGUGAGACGUAAGACAUAGACCACAGUGCUCCACCUUUUCCUGUUGUCUCAUAAGGACCAGUGGCAGAUGUUCUUUGUGGACGAGGAUAUCAGCCUCACUCUCAACAGGAAUGAGUGAGUUAAAGCGAGAGAGACAGAGAAUAAGGUACACCGGUGAAGGAUGAGAUGAAUGUCAAAAAUAAACUGUUUACUUUUGCUGCCAAGAAUA
This is a long non-coding RNA of Carassius carassius (crucian carp), 841 nucleotides long. RefSeq lists it as uncharacterized. The transcript has 6 exons. NCBI's taxonomy places the organism in Eukaryota, Metazoa, Chordata, Actinopteri, Cypriniformes, Cyprinidae. The record is from RefSeq and is a predicted model, not a curated record.